RNAcentral lists this ribosomal RNA (440 nucleotides) under uncultured bacterium. RNAcentral describes it as "partial 16S ribosomal RNA". It matches the Rfam family "Bacterial small subunit ribosomal RNA", at positions 338 to 795 of the family's 1533-position model. The record is from RNAcentral.
CCUACGGGCGGCUGCAGUGGGGAAUAUUGGACAAUGGGGGAAACCCUGAUCCAGCGACGCCGCGUGAGUGAAGAAGUAUUUCGGUAUGUAAAGCUCUAUCAGCAGGAAAGAAAAUGACGGUACCUGACUAAGAAGCCCCGGCUAACUACGUGCCAGCAGCCGCGGUAAUACGUAGGGGGCAAGCGUUAUCCGGAUUUACUGGGUGUAAAGGGAGCGUAGACGGGUGGGCAAGUCUGGAGUGAAAUGCCGGGGCCCAACCCCGGAACUGCUCUGGAAACUGUGAAGCUGGAGUGCAGGAGAGGUAGGCGGAAGUCCUGGUGUAGCGGUGAAAUGCGUAGAUAUCAGGAGGAACACCGGCGGCGAAGGCGGCUUACUGGACUGUAACUGACGUUGAGGCUCGAAGGCGUGGGGAGCAAACAGGAGUAGAUACCCCAGUAGUC